RNAcentral lists this ribosomal RNA (253 nucleotides) under uncultured bacterium. Its description in RNAcentral is "partial 16S ribosomal RNA". It matches the Rfam family "Bacterial small subunit ribosomal RNA", at positions 524 to 776 of the family's 1533-position model. The record is from RNAcentral.
UACGUAGGGGGCAAGCGUUGUCCGGAUUUAUUGGGCGUAAAGAGCGUGUAGGCGGUUUGGUAGGUCCGCUGUGAAAACUCGAGGCUCAACCUCGAGACGUCGGUUGAAACCACCUGGCUAGAGUCCGGAAGAGGAGAGUGGAAUUCCUGGUGUAGCGGUGAAAUGCGCAGAUAUCAGGAAGAACACCCGUGGCGAAGGCGGCUCUCUGGGACGGUACUGACGCUGAGACGCGAAAGCGUGGGGAGCGAACAGG